RNAcentral lists this ribosomal RNA (378 nucleotides) under uncultured eukaryote. Its description in RNAcentral is "SSU rRNA". It matches the Rfam family "Eukaryotic small subunit ribosomal RNA", at positions 587 to 972 of the family's 1831-position model. The record is from RNAcentral.
AGCUCCAAUAGCGUAUAUUAAAGUUGUUGCGGUAAAAGCUCGUAGUUGGAUUUCUGUUGAGAAUCGCGGGUCCAUACAACGUAUGCGUAUCUCGUCGAGUCUCGGCAUCCUCUCGAAAGACGUCUCUGCGCUUGAUUGCGUGGAACGGAUUCCGGGACUUUUACUUUGAGGAAAUUAGAGUGUUCACGGCAGGCUACCGCCCGAAUACAUUAGCAUGGAAUAAUACUAUAGGAUCUUGAUUCUAUUUUGUUGGUUUCUAGGAUUAAGAUAAUGAUUAAUAGGGACAAUUGGGGGCAUUCGUAUCAACACGUCAGAGGUGGAAUUCUUGGAUUGUGUUGCGACGAACUACUGCGAAAGCAUUUGCCAAGGAUGUUUUCA